This 120-nucleotide ribosomal RNA is filed under the name Pteropus alecto (black flying fox). Lineage: Eukaryota; Metazoa; Chordata; Mammalia; Chiroptera; Pteropodidae. The record is from RNAcentral. RNAcentral also lists the same sequence under 1 other name.
UUUAAUAAGAAUAUAUUUACUGAAUGUGCCCGAUCCCGUCUGAUCUCGGAAGCUAAGCAGGGUGGGGCCUGGUUAGUACUUGGAUGAGAGACCACCUAGGAAGACCAGGUGCUGUAGGCA